AAUGCUACUGGUUUUGUAACUUUGUAUACGAUGGCAUUAGGAGUGAGAUAGAGCUUUCUGGACCGAAUAUCUUUCCGUAAGAUAUAUCUCCGCACAGGCAGAUACAGAAGCAUGAAUAAUCCAAUCCCCCAAGCCAGCAUUAGCAGCAAGGAGAACACAACCCAUCGAGCAGUUUGAUACUUAACAAAAUUCUCUUCCAUCUCUUCAAACGAAGCCGUGUAAAGCACCCUAUCCUCAUUAGAUUCACUUUCUUCGCCAGACUCACCACCACGCGAUUCCGUCAAUAAACCCUUUUCUAAGCUAUCAAUUUCCACAACUUCAUCUCCAGUUCCCAUAGAUUGAUCAGAAAAUAGUCUUCUUUUGACGGAAGUAGCCAGAGCUUCGAAAAUGGGAGAGACGAGAAUACGCUAACUGCUA
Molecule: unclassified non-coding RNA, 417 nt
Filed under: Hevea brasiliensis (rubber tree)
Lineage: Eukaryota; Viridiplantae; Streptophyta; Magnoliopsida; Malpighiales; Euphorbiaceae
Source: RNAcentral